This 75-nucleotide antisense RNA is filed under the name Streptomyces variegatus. Its description in RNAcentral is "ASpks sRNA". It matches the Rfam family "ASpks TB sRNA". The record is from RNAcentral. Lineage: Bacteria; Bacillati; Actinomycetota; Actinomycetes; Kitasatosporales; Streptomycetaceae.
CUUCACCGACCCCAGCCACAGCGGACGGCCCUCGGGCCGUCCCUGGCCGUACGUGGCCAGCAGCGCCUGCACCUC